This 65-nucleotide transfer RNA is filed under the name Ruditapes philippinarum (Manila clam). Its description in RNAcentral is "tRNA-Gly". The record is from RNAcentral. Lineage: Eukaryota; Metazoa; Mollusca; Bivalvia; Venerida; Veneridae.
CUAAUAGUAGUAUAAAAAGUAUUACUGUCUUCCAAACAGUGGGUUCGACAUAUCGAUUAUUAGAC